RNAcentral lists this ribosomal RNA (266 nucleotides) under uncultured bacterium. RNAcentral's name for it is "partial 16S ribosomal RNA". It matches the Rfam family "Bacterial small subunit ribosomal RNA", at positions 8 to 253 of the family's 1533-position model. The record is from RNAcentral.
AGAGUUUGAUCCUGGCUCAGGAUGAACGCUAGCUACAGGCUUAACACAUGCAAGUCGAGGGGAAACGGACAUCGAAAGCUUGCUUUUGAUGGGCGUCGACCGGCGCACGGGUGAGUAACGCGGUAUCCAACCUGCCCACCACUUGGGGAUAACCUUGCGAAAGUAAGACUAAUACCCAAUGACGUCUCUAGAAGACAUCUAGAAAGAGAAGUUAAAGAAUUUAUCGGUGAUGGAGUAGGGGAGUGGCGUCUGAUUAGCUUGUUGGG